UUAGAGUUUGAUCCUGGCUCAGGACGAACGCUGGCGGCGUGCUUCACACAUGCAAGUCGAACGGGGAUAGAGCGCAGGCUUGCCUAUGCUCUUUCCUAGUGGCGGACGGGUGAGUAACACGUGAGCAACCUGCCCGACAACCCGGGAUAACAGCGGGAAACCGUUGCUAAUACCGGAUACACCAGUAUUAACGCAUGUUAUAACUGGGAAAGGGUUUACCGAUGUCGAAUGGGCUCGCGACCCAUUAGCUUGUUGGUGGGGUAAUGGCCUACCAAGGCUGCGAUGGGUAGCUGGUCUGAGAGGACGAUCAGCCACACUGGAACUGAGACACGGUCCAGACUCCUACGGGAGGCAGCAGUGGGGAAUAUUGCACAAUGGGCGAAAGCCUGAUGCAGCGACGCCGCGUGGAGGAUGAAGGCCUUCGGGUCGUAAACUCCUGUCUGGGGGGAUGAAUUUUUGACAGUACCCCCGGAGGAAGCCCCGGCUAACUACGUGCCAGCAGCCGCGGUAAUACGUAGGGGGCAAGCGUUGUCCGGAAUUACUGGGCGUAAAGCGCGCGUAGGUGGCUUGUUAAGUCAGGUGUCAAAAUGCGGAGCUCAACUCCGCAGCGCACUUGAAACUGGCAGGCUUGAGUGCAGGAGAGGAAAGUGGAAUUCCUAGUGUAGCGGUGAAAUGCGUAGAUAUUAGGAGGAACACCAGUGGCGAAGGCGACUUUCUGGACUGCAACUGACACUGAGGCGCGAAAGCUAGGGGAGCAAACAAGAUUAGAUACCCUGGUAGUCCUAGCCGUAAACGAUGGGUAUUAGGUGUUGGGGGUGACAUUCCUUCCAGUGCGGCAGUUAACGCAUUAAGUUCCCCCGCCUGGGGAUUACGGCCGCAAGGUGAAAACUCAAAAGAAAUUGCGGGGGGCCCGCACAAGCAGCGGAGCAUGUGGUUUAAUUCGAUGCAACGCGAAAAACCUUACCCAGGGCUUGACAUCCUCUGAAGCUGUAAGAGAUUAUAGUGUCCUUUCGGGGCAGAGAGACAGGUGGUGCAUGGUUGUCGUCAGCUCGUGUCGUGAGAUGUUGGGUUAAGUCCCGCAACGAGCGCAACCCUUAUUCUCAGUUGCCAGCACGCAAAGGUGGGCACUCUGAGGAGACUGCCGGUGACAAACCGGAGGAAGGUGGGGAUGACGUCAAAUCAUCAUGCCCCUUAUGUCCUGGGCUACACACGUGCUACAAUGGCCUGAACAACGGGCGUGCGAAGGAGCGAUCCGGAGCAAAUCCCUUAAAUCAGGUCCCAGUUCGGAUUGCAGGCUGCAACUCGCCUGCAUGAAGCAGGAGUUGCUAGUAAUCGCGGAUCAGCAUGCCGCGGUGAAUGCGUUCCCGGGCCUUGUACACACCGCCCGUCA
This 1390-nucleotide ribosomal RNA is filed under the name uncultured bacterium. RNAcentral's name for it is "bacterial SSU rRNA". It matches the Rfam family "Bacterial small subunit ribosomal RNA". The record is from RNAcentral.